UGUUACAACCAUAUUACACUUUGUCAUUUAGUCACAUGACUGAUGUGGGGUGCUGGUUCAGGAUAAAUAGGGCAGAUUGUCUUUAUGUCUCAGAGAAGAUUUAUUUCGACUCAUUUCUGAAGACUGGUGUAAAGAAGUGCAACUGUUAUGGCUCAUCAUAUGAAGGGACUCUUCCUGAUCUGCCUGCUUUCAAUAUUUACUAGAAGCACAGAGGCUCAGAAUAUUAACAAUCUUGCUUCCAUUAUACAGUUCUUGAACACAAAUUAUCAGGUAGGCCAGUAUGCAGCAGCCAUCAAUGUCCCACAGGAACAGUGUCAGGGGAAUUUCAUACCCACAACUGACAACUUCUUGACAAAUGACCCAGAAACGAAUGUAAAAAAUGCUAUAAGAGGUGAUACAAGUCCAGUCUACAAAGGCACAGAGCUCGUCGCUGCAGGAGUCCAGAAACAACCUCGUCCAGCACAUUCAGAGUUUCUGCUUCUAGACCCUGUAAAUAAUUCACCUUUAACAUAUUUACUGAAUAAGAGAAAGAACGGAUGUGUGGUGUUUUACACCCUAAACUCUCCCUGUAUGAACACUUGUCUCACUGGAAAGUACAACAUUAUACCAGGUGUUAAUAAAUUAAAAAACUAUAAGGGAAUAAAAGCCUUUGUUUUCAAAAAUAUCUGGAACCAUGAUCAAAACAAACCAGAGGAGCUGAAAGAAAAACUGAAGACUAUUGCUGAUCGUGUCCCACUCUACCGCUGCAGAAACAACAAUCAAUGCAUCCUUUGUGGAGAGCCAAAUUCAAAUGUUGAAAUAAAUAAUGCAUGUUUGUCUGUUUAAAAAAACACAGUUGUCUGGGUUGCUUAAUUUUCAUGAGCUUGAUAAGAUGCUCUUUCAAAGACUCAAGAAAAGUCAUCAAAUUUCAUAUUACAUUCCAUGUAUUUUUUGUGUAAAAUAAUUUUGUCUUAUUUCUCUUUUAAGGGUUACAUUUCAUGCCACACAACAAUUUCAAUGCUAACUUCAUAAAAUAAAUAAAGUCUUGAAUUUGCA
This is a long non-coding RNA of Paramisgurnus dabryanus, 1035 nucleotides long. RefSeq lists it as uncharacterized. The record is from RefSeq and is a predicted model, not a curated record. Lineage: Eukaryota; Metazoa; Chordata; Actinopteri; Cypriniformes; Cobitidae.